UCGAAGAACGAAUAAGAAUUGAAAUUAGUAUAGAUAUGAGGAAAACAUAAUAUUCGACUUCCCUAAAAGUAAAGUUUCAAUAAACAUAUUGAAUACAUACAGAAUUGACCGAAUAGUAAAAGGGGAUCUUACGAGUACUUAUCGAUUACCAAAAUAUUUAUGAAACCGAUACCACCACACUCUAGCGUACCGAAACAAUCCCACAACACUAAGUGGCAGACAAGAAAUUGAAAGAGAAGAAGAAGAAGAAGAAAUGGUCGGCUCAGAGAAAAUCGAAAGAAAGAUUGAAAUGACUUAGAGAAAGAAAGAGAGACUAUAUUCGGCUAUUUUGAAAAGAAGAGAAACAGAAAAAACGGUAAAGAAGAAGUUAAGAAUGGGGAAUUCGGUAAGGUACAAGAAUGUAACCUGAAGACAAUGUCCACAAAAGAAAAAUAGUCCAAAUAGUCACUUGUGAAAAUGUCACUAAGGAGAAAAGAA
RNAcentral lists this long non-coding RNA (477 nucleotides) under Gossypium barbadense (sea-island cotton). RNAcentral's name for it is "long non-coding RNA (GBAR_LNC005319)". The record is from RNAcentral. Lineage: Eukaryota; Viridiplantae; Streptophyta; Magnoliopsida; Malvales; Malvaceae.